AUUGAACGCUGGCGGCAGGCCUAACACAUGCAAGUCGAACGAGUGGCGGACGGGUGAGUAAUGUAUGGGAAACUGCCUGAUGGAGGGGGAUCACUACUGGAAACGGUAGCUAAUACCGCAUACCAUCAGAUGUGCCCAGAUGGGAUUAGCUAGUUGGUGGGGUAACGGCUCACCAAGGCGACGAUCCCUCGCUGGUCUGAGAGGAUGACCAGCCACACUGGAACUGAGACACGGCCCAGACUCCUACGGGAGGCAGCAGUGGGGAAUAUUGCACAAUGGGCGAAAGCCUGAUGCAGCCAUGCCGCGUGUAUGAAGAAGGCCUUCGGGUUGUAAAGUACUUUCAGCGGGGAGGCGUUACCCGCAGAAGAAGCACCGGCUAACUCCGUGCCAACAGCCGCGGUAAUUC
RNAcentral lists this ribosomal RNA (406 nucleotides) under uncultured bacterium. RNAcentral's name for it is "partial 16S ribosomal RNA". It matches the Rfam family "Bacterial small subunit ribosomal RNA", at positions 30 to 526 of the family's 1533-position model. The record is from RNAcentral.